GAAGUCAAUCGUUGGAAAGAAUUAUCUGAGUUGUUGUAGAUAAUUAAACCGAAACCUCUGUCGUCUCCUAUAUACACCUUAGUAUUCAUAGGAUCCAUGGCUUGAACAACUAGAGACACUAGUUCUCCCUUCCUGUGGUGACAUUUACGGCAAUAUCAUGUGGUAUCUCGACUUGUUUAAGAUGUUGUGAGUUCUUCACAUCAAAGACAUGCAACUUUGGAGCACACACAGGUUGAGUUCUAUUGAUAAGACCUGAA
This is a long non-coding RNA of Apis florea (little honeybee), 257 nucleotides long. Lineage: Eukaryota; Metazoa; Arthropoda; Insecta; Hymenoptera; Apidae. The record is from RefSeq and is a predicted model, not a curated record.